Long non-coding RNA from Haemorhous mexicanus (house finch), 8322 nucleotides. RefSeq lists it as uncharacterized. The transcript is spliced from 2 exons. The record is from RefSeq and is a predicted model, not a curated record. Lineage: Eukaryota; Metazoa; Chordata; Aves; Passeriformes; Fringillidae.
AGAGGGCAGGGCUGGGUGGGAUCUUGGCAAUGAGGAAUUGUUCCCUGGCAGGGUGGGCAGGGGCUGGGAUGGAAUUCCCAGAGCAGCUGUGGCUGCCCCUGGAUCCCUGGCAGUGCCCAAGGCCAGGUUGGACACUGGGGCUGGGAGCAGCCUGGGACAGUGGGAGGUGUCCCUGCCAUGGCAGGGGUGGAACUGGGUGAUUUUCAAGGUCCCUUCCCACCCAAAUCAUUCUGGGAUUCUAUGAUAGAUUGGAAAAUCCAGGUGCCAGGCUUAUACUCUGCUCUGAAGUGAACUGAUCCAAAAUUUUUCCUUGUGGUCCCUGGAGCUGCCUUUGACAGGGAGGAGCUGAGUGUGGAUUGUUCUAACCAGGGCUUCUGGAAACGUGACAAUCUCUCCUUCAGAGGUGAAAGACACUGCCAGUGCAGCUGACUCUCUUAACAGCACUUGUGGGAGUGCUUUAUUAUACAGUUUAUUCAGAACAUGGUAAACAUCCUAAAAACUGUUGUUCUAAAUAAUGAGCUCAACCUCGACAAUGUGCAAAAGGCAGAAAUCAAAUCUUCAAAGAUAACCCACAAAGGUGCUUGAACGAGGAGUCACCUCAAUUAUUCUCACAGUGCCUUCUGAAAACAAAGCCAGCAGAUUAACAGGAACUGUGUAUGUGGGAUAUUUUUUUGAAGAAAGGAAUGAGGUACUCACAGCAGAUAGCAGCCACAGGACACCUAAAUCUUUCUCUGAAUAAGAAUUUAUUCCUCCAUUAUCAGAAGAAACAAACUUCUUCCUGCUUCCCUCAGGCCUGAAGUCAGGAUUAAGAGGAAGAAGCUGACACUGACCAGACAGAAUCCUUUGAAUGGAAUUUAUGCAUCAUGGAUGAGGUGUAUUGUUCCAGACUGCAAGGCAAGAUGAGUUCUGUUACCAUCUGUGUGGCAGUUGUCUUCUGUUCAGUGGGCAGUUUUCCUUAUCUCCUCCACACCCACUCCUCCCUCUGGGGGGACACCUGCUGAUAAGAGGCCAUUGAAUGUCCCUGCAUGGCUGAUAAGAACUACAGCAUCCCAUUGGGAGAUGUGAGCCCAGAGGGAGGAGCCAAGCAUUCCUACCUGGAUAGAAUCCUGAGAUUCUGGAACACCAGCACAGCUUCUCCACUGGAUUUCCCAGAGGAACAGCAGCUGCCUCUCCCACUGGAUCUUCAGAGGAAGACUCCACCUUUCUCCAGGAUCCCUGCUCCAGCAGAACCAGCCCUGGCACUGCAGGAGGGCUGAGCCACAAUUCCAAUGGGACUGCUGCCAGCACCCUGACCCACAGGUGUCAGGGUGUGUUCUGACUCUGUCAGUGUUGUUUUAGUUUACUACAUUGUUUAUUUUAUCUUUUUAUUUUCUUCCCUAGUAAAGAACUGUUAUUCCUGCUCCCAUUUUUAUUUUUGCCUGAGAGCCCCUUAAUUUAAAAUUUACAUCAAUUCAGAGGGGUGGGGAAGGUUCACAUUCUCCAUUUCAGGGGAGGCUCCUGCCUUCCUUAGCAGACACCUGGCUUUCCAAACCUAGACAUGUAUGAAUAUGCAACAGGCUGUUCCUUUUAAGGGUUAAUCCUCUGUUAACGUGGGUCCUUUUUCGGGCAUAUUUUGCCCAGAAAAGGUACCCAGACUGUCUGUAACUCUUUGUUCUUAUUGUCUCAUAUUGUCCUAAUCCCAGUCGUCCAAAUUUUUAUUACUCUAAUUAUAUUACUAUUUUUAUAACCAUUUUAUUACUAUUAAACUUUUAAUACUCUAAAAACAAGUGAUUGGCAUUUUUCACACCUUCCCCUCCUCUGGCUGCUCCACAGCACACUGCCUUGGUGGCUCUGUGGUCUGGUUUUGACUGGGAUAGAGUAAUUUUCUUCUCAGCAGCUGUGUUUGGGAUUUGUGAUUAAUAACCCAGGGGUAUUUCAGCUGUUCCUGACCAGUGCUUGCACUGUAUUUUGUUCUUACCAAGGCCCUUAGGAACAAACUUCAUAUUUAAAGGUUUUGGAGUUAAUUUAGUGAAGGAAAUUAUUUUCACUCAGCAAUAUAUUAGAUGUAACCACUCAAUUUCUUUCUUUUAUUAUCUUCCCACAUGGAGCUUCUUUUUCUGUCACAAUAAAUGAAUGGCUGGGCAGCUCUGAAUAUCCUGCCUAGAAAGCUGUAAACUAUAGGGCUCUUGGUGUGUUUGACCACAGUUUUCCAAAUUUUUUGGAUUUGAUUAGGAAGGAUAAGAUAAAUUUUAAUUUUUUUUUCCUCUAAGGGUGACAGAGGUUGGCUUGGCUUCACCAGCUUGGAUGCCAAUCUCUCCAAAUUUUUUCUGUUGUGGAAACAGGAAUGGAGGGAAAGGGUUUUCUCCAGAACUCCCCAGUCCAGAUUCCCAAAAUGGACAUUUUAAGCUAUGCAGAAGCCUUGGAAGAGCUUUUUGACACAGCACUGGGAGUUAGGUGGUGUCAGUGCUUGCUUUGAUGUUUCAUUAAAUGCCCCCUGGACAAUGUUAGGCAAAGGGAAACAGCUGGCAAACAUCAAGGAAAAGCUAAAAUUAAAUUCCUUAGUGAGGAACACAGGUGGGUUUUCCAAGCAGGCAGUGUUUGAUGGUGCUACAGGAAAGUUUUCUCUUUGUCCAUAUUUCAUGGAGGCAGGAAAAUGGGGAGAAUUGAUUAUUGUAGAGGAAUUUAGGAGAAAACAGAUUCAAUUCUCAUUUGCUGGCUCUUGUAUGAAGCUGGGAAAGAGUUUGCUCCUUUCAUGGAGCAAUUGCCAAGGAUUGAUCUCCAGCCUGAGCUCCUGUGUUCCCAUUGCAAAGAUCGUGAGAAUAUUUGAAAACAAAUCACAGCCUGGAAAGCCCUAAGAGCUCUGAAUGGAAGGAAAAUGGAAUAUAUGCACGAGCUUGAUUUAGCUCUGAAAUGCAGAUUAUUAAAAGUGCCUUCUUGAUGACACAAUCCAAGUGACAUUUAAUGAAAAAUGGGAUAUUUUGAAGUGGAAGGAUUGGAAAAUAUCUCAGUGAUAGCAAUGAAAACAAGACACCAAACUGCCCUGCAUAUGAGGAUCAUACAUCGCUAAAAUAGAUGAAGGUAACAGGAAUAAAGGACUAAUUGUGCUUUGGAAGGUGAACAAAGGAAGAAAUAACUAAUGGUUCUAUGAUACAGGUUGAGGGUCUUCUUAGUUUUCUCUCUUUUUUUUAACCAGCAGGAAAGUGUCACAAAAACAACACACCCAAAACCCCCUCACAAAAUGGGCGGUUGCAUUUUGUUUCUAAGGACUUUUCUCUCAGUGGCUGAAUCAGUGUUUCAGUAAUAAACAUCAGAUAAAGAUUCUCAGGAAUCUGAGGUCCUCCUGAUAUCUCUUGUCAGGGAAAUUUGGGGAAAUUUCCCAGGCUCUUUCUGUCUAUUCCUUUAGAUGGAGGGAGUGUCAGGCAUUUAUUUGGCUUUUGUUUCUAGCUCUGGGAAAACUCUGUGUCUGUCUGUCCAUAUAAAUCUGUCCUUGUAUCCUCUUGUUCAUGCCCAUAUGUGUAUCACUCUCUUUCUAAUAAAAGCAGGUACAAGAUGCUGUUACUUCAACAAUUUGGAACACUGCAAUCAAAUCAAAUGGAUGUAUUAAUAUUACUGCUCAUUGCAAGCAAGAGCAUAUGCUGAAUUUUAUGCCCAUUUUAUUAGGAUCAGCAGGUUCCCUGAUACAUUUGGAGCUGCAGCUGAACAGAUCAGUUUUAUUUGCAUUUUCGUGGGCACCAAUUCAAUGGCAGGAGCUGCUCUGCCAGACAUCAUGAGGUGCUUGGGGGCAAGGUUUGAUUUGGAUCUCUGCUUGUCUCUCCUUAGUGCUGGUGUGGUGCUUCAAAAGCUCUGCUUGUGUGAGUGACACGUUUCACUCAGUCCCAGCCAGGAGAGAUAAAACCUCAGCUUUCCUUCAGAAAUACUUCCUGCUAUCAGCUGGCACUAAGGGAAGGAACCCUGGGCUCCUCAAGCACUGAGUUGUUGCAGCACCAUGAAGGAAGGGGGGUCAGGCUGUUUGAAUGCUCAUGCUUGAGAGGUGAGAGGAAUAGUGGAUUUGUCUUUACAAACAGGCUGUGGGUCUGCUGGUGGAUAAAACCAGCACUGGGAGAUAAAAGAAACAAUGGGAAGGAUUCCACUGAUGGAGGAAUGGAAAAAGAUAUUUGCUUUUAUAAAUAAACUUUAGGUUUGCUGAUAAACGAAAUUAGACAUUGAGAGAUGAAAGAAACAAUGGGGAAGAAAAAACCCUACAUUCAGUAAGAAUUAAAAAUUAAAAGGGAGGGUUGUACAUUAGAGGGAAAUCUUUGGGAAAUCUCUGGUAUCAGGGGUAUCAGGAAGUCUGUAUCUCUCAAGUACCUCAUCCAAUGAGGAAAGAGAGAAGGGAAAUGCAGCAGGGAAAUUGGGAUAAAAAGGAGCCUGUGUCCUCCAAAAAUUGGAGAAAUCCCAGGGGAAUACCCCAUGGCCUCUCCCUUUAUUCCAGUAAAGCCAGAAAGAACUCCUCUGUCUCCUUUUUGGACAUAAACCUCUGGUGUUUGUGGAUUAAUUUUCCCAGCAGAGGGAAGGAGAAAUUCUGGAUUUUCCUGCCAUAGCAUGCACUUGGCAGUGACUGCCAGCUGCCGUGGGGCUGUGUCGUCUGCAGGCUCUGCACCCUGAGACUCAGUGCUAUUUCUGAGUUGCCUUCAAAACCCUCACUCCCUGCAAAGGAACACUAAAACCUCUCCCUGUGCCUGAGCAUUCUCUGGGAAUUCAAUGAAAGGAUCACCCCAGGGCAUUUCUGACUGAAGGCAGUGAGAGCAGCUCCUGUGGAUGUGCUGCUCGCUGAGUAUUUAAUGGCACUUUGGCACAUCCCCGAGGGCCUUUUCUGGCAUAAAUACAGAGCUCUGCACCUCUGGCCCCAGGGGAUCUGCCAGGAGAUGGUUCCUGGGCUUAUGCUGGGAGCUGUGAUUCUUCUUCCCUUUACCCUUCUGCUCAGAGCUGCCUCUACUGCAAAUAUGCAGAGAAACCUUCCUGACUGGAAAAUUUCAUGGAAUCACAGACUGGUUUGGGUUGGAAGGGAUGCUUUCCACUAAAUCAGGGUGCUCCAAGCCCUGUCCAAGCUGGCCUUGGACACCUCCAGGGGUGGAGCAGCCACAGCUUCUCUGGGUGUUUGUUUGAACUGAGCACACAGCCAAGAGAAGAAUUGCUGUUCAUGCCCUAAUCAUGAAAAACAAAAUUAAGCUUCUAAACUGAGUGUUUGCUGGUGUUUUCCAGUCCCAUCUUAAAGGCCAAAUGGAAACAAGGCUGCUUUCAAUCCAGUGGAGGGGUGGAGAGCCCCAAAAUCCAAACAGCAUGUGAACUGUGGAACCAGAUUUUAAGAACAGCAGGGAUUUUUUUGCCAGCCUUAAAAAACCUGCUUUCUAGUGGGGAAUACAUGUGGAGAAGGUACCAUUUCCACAGGAAUAAUUCCAUUCUACCAGUUCCCUGUGUUUCCAGGUGAGAUGAUGUGCAGCUGAGGGUGAGCAGGGCAGUGCAUUCCUCAUGUGGGAAGGAAUAGCAGGAUCAGGCUGAAGUGAUCAACACUGCCUUGGCUUCCUGUCCUGGGUGUGCAGGCAGGGAUUCCUCUCAGGAUAACUGGGAUAUUUACACUUUUUGGGGAGCACUCGAGGUGGCCUGAGGUGUUUCUGUUAACAGCCUCAGUUACAUUUCUACAGUGAUGUGUCUCAGAAGACAAAUCUACUUCUGCCUCAGGCACAGAAAUCUGUUUCCAGCUUUUCCCUAAAUGACUUUGGGGUUCUCCAGCAAGUCUCAUUAGCAGAUUUAUUUGACUCUGGCACAUGACCAUUGAAACCAGGGGCGUUGCUACCCCUCAAACACACAGGUUCCUGCAGUGCCCCACAGCUCUUUUGGAAACACAAACCCACGUUUGCACCUCAGUCUCGCCCUGAAGUCCUUUGGAAAGGUAAAAUGAAUGUUUCUGAGGAGUUGAAAUAACGUGGCAGAGCCUUUAUACAGCAAAAAAAUUAAAUAAAUUGAAUUCUUAUUGCCAAAUAUUCUUGGUAAAUUGGCUAUUUUCUUUUUGCCCACACAAACAGCUAAAGAAGGAUUAUUAAAUCUAAGGAAUACAAAUGCUAAGUAAUUUGAAGAGCUGGAAUCAGACCCAGAGUUAAAGCUGGAAAUAAUUCUGUCCCUAAUCCUCUCUGUGGUGCCCUGUGGUAAGGUUGGUUGUCAUGCCAAAAUCUAAUAGUCUGCUUUCAUCCUCCUUGGACAGCAGGACAAAUUGGCCAGGGCACAUUUUCACUGCAUUUGGGCUUCUCACUGCACUCCCAGUUGGCUUUUAGAGGAGCAUUUCAAAUGUUCCUAUCAUUAUCACCUGAAAAGAAGUUUUCUCUCUGUACAAAUGCUACAUGGAAAUGGAAGUUCGGGUUGCUUAUGGAAUACAUAAUUUUUUAUUGACUUUUUAAAAAAUUCAUUUUACCCUUGCACAUUUAAGUAAUGCUUAAGGUGUUAUCAAAAGCUUCAGACUGCAGGCUCUUCAGGCUUUUGUUUCUAUUCAUGUCUCCUUUUUUUUGGCUUUAAUCAGUGAAUUUCUUGGCUAGGAAAACUUUCACACAUAGCAACACCUUCAAACAGUGCACGCAAUAUAUUGAUAUAGAGAUGUGUGGAAGGCAUUUGGGUACUGAAAUCCUCUUGAAAUAUUUUUAAACAACCUUGGAAAUGUGUAUAUAACACAUCAUCUCUGUAGCAACGCUCUUUAAAGACAAAUUACUGUGUUUACCCCUUCUUAUCCCUACUGGUAUGGAAAUGGAUUAACUGGGAGAGAUUGGGAGGUGCUGGCAAUGAAAUUACUGAUGCCAGGUUCAGAUUCCCUGUGAGAUCUGAUGGUUUUAUUUUUUCCAGCUGAAAAUAAAAGGUAUAGCCUGGGUCUGCUGCAGGGAUUCAUUGAUUGACCUCUCCAGAGCUGGGUGGCAGCUGCUCCAGCAAAUGUUGCUGUUGCUGGUCAAUAGCUGGGAGGGCUUUAGACAGUCCCUGGUCACCCUGCCCAGGCUUUCUUUUUGUGCUAAUUGGUGAAACUGGCUUGGGACCAGCUGGAGAAUCAGACAAUGGAAGAAGUGGGUCAGACACCUUUGAUUAGUUCUUGAAGCAGAGAGGAAUUUCUCCCAGGUUUUCUGGCUGCUCCCUGCACUCCUGCUUGUGGCUGGCAGUUGACAGGAAGGAAAUCAUUUCCCUGGGUCUGUAACUGCAGGGUAAAACAGGCAGAAAGUCUGGAAUGUCUGCAGGAAUCACAGAAGGGUUGGGUUGGAAGGGACCUUAAAGAUGAUUCAGCUACAGCCCUACCAUGGGCAGGGACACCUUCCAUUGUCCCAGGCUGCUCCAAGCCCCAUCCAGCCUGGCCUUGGGCACUGCCAGGGAUGAGGAGUCCACAGCUUCUCUGGGAAAACUGUCCCAGUGCCUCUCAACCCUCACAGCAAAGAAUUUAUUCCUAAUAUCCUAUCUAACUCUACUCCCUUUUAGUAUGGAGCCAUUCCUCCUUGUCCUGUCACUCCAUCCCUUGGGAAUCAUCUCUCUCCAUUUUUCUUGUUGGUUCCCUUCAUGAACCAAAGUGAGUUAAUAAUCAAUAAAGAUCAUAAGAAAUAAAAUUCCAAUACUUUUCUGCUAAAUUAUCUCCUGCUCUGAGUUGCAUAAGUGGUUUUAGUUUCUCUGAUCCUGUGCCCUGGGGCAGGGACUGCAUUUUCAAUUUCUGUAGAGAGUAAGGAACAUCACAGUUCUUAUCAGACAGCUUUACAAACAAGUGAUGUCCAUGCUUGGGAUCCUGUCAAACUGUGAGAGCAUGAAUGGCUCAGGAUGGGGAGUUCACUUCAGACACUGCACUUAAAAAUAGGUGUGUGCUCCUCGGGGAUGUCCUUCCCAAAACUCCUGGUCCAGCUCUCAGGGAGUUGCUAAUCCUGGUCUGGUACAGAGUUAAGUCAGGCAGAUGAUCCCAGGAGGGAACUAAGGACCUGGAGGGAGGGAUGUGAUAGUGGGGCCCUGGGAGAAUGUUAAAAUAGACUCUGAAAUGUUAAGCUUUGUGUUGCACCUGCAUAAGCAGUAUGAUAAAUGAUAUAAUUGUUAGAUGUGAUGAUUGUUUAGUAAUUAAAUAUAAUUAUUGUAUAAUCAUUAGAAGAAUCAUGAGAAACUAUGUUAGAAAAUCUAAGGUGGCUAUGCUUGGCUGAAAUCUAUGUAUACAAUAGAACAACAUAAGUUCAACAAUUAACAUGAAAGUUAUAUAACAGUAGAAUAUAAAAACAUGUUCAUCCCGAACCCAUGUCGGAGUCAGAUUUGGGUUUGUACUCCUGACACCCAGAGCUCUUCAAUAAAAGCACCUGCAUAUAAUCA